GCUGGGCAUAGUGGCUCACGCCUGUAAUCCCAGCACUUUGGGAGGCCGAGGCGGGUGGAUCACCUGAGGUCAGGAGUUCUAGACCAGCCUGGCCAACAUGGUGAAAACCCGUCUCUA
Molecule: non-coding RNA, 117 nt
Organism: Pan troglodytes (chimpanzee)
Lineage: Eukaryota; Metazoa; Chordata; Mammalia; Primates; Hominidae
Rfam family: Metazoan signal recognition particle RNA
About the family: The signal recognition particle (SRP) is a universally conserved ribonucleoprotein. It is involved in the co-translational targeting of proteins to membranes.
Source: Rfam